GGCCUCCCUCUUUGGGGCGAUCGAUCAUAGGGCUCCGCGAUUGAUCGCCACAGAGAGGGAGGCC
This 64-nucleotide microRNA precursor is filed under the name Myotis lucifugus (little brown bat). RNAcentral's name for it is "mir-9242 microRNA precursor family". It matches the Rfam family "mir-9242 microRNA precursor family". Lineage: Eukaryota; Metazoa; Chordata; Mammalia; Chiroptera; Vespertilionidae. The record is from Rfam by way of RNAcentral.